Molecule: long non-coding RNA, 269 nt
Filed under: Brassica napus (rape)
Lineage: Eukaryota; Viridiplantae; Streptophyta; Magnoliopsida; Brassicales; Brassicaceae
Description: long non-coding RNA (BNAP_LNC007422)
Source: RNAcentral
UCAGAUUCUUGCUAAAGAAGUUUCCAAAGCCAUUUCACAAGAAGAUACUACUAACGCUCUACCUGAGUCUCCCGUUGCUGCGGAAUCAUCUAAUGGAGUUUCUUCUUAUUCUGUCAAGGAAACCUCGCUGCGGAAUCAUCUAAUGGAGUUUCUUCUUAUUCUGUCAAGGAAACCUCUUCGCCUAAAGCUUCUAAUACAGUUGUGCCUAGUACGUUUAAGAAACCCAUUGGUGCUAAAAGGACGGGUAAAACUGGUGGUCUUGGUGCAAG